ACGAUAAAGAGUGGAGCCAGAGGAAUGAGAUAAAAAACAGCUGCAGAUAACUCCCAGUAACAACGCAAAUAAUGCUGAUUGGAGCAACCUUAAACAGCUCCGGUAACGCAGCAAGGUCCAGAAAUUUGUGUGGGAACUUAUUACUAUAAAAGAAGGGUGUGUUGCCAUGGGACUUUGGAUUCGUUCUGCAUCAACAUCGGAGCUUUGAAUGUAUUCGACAGAAGCCCAGCUCCUCUCCCUCGUGUGCAGUUUCAGCUGGCCACUGGAACUGACUGAGCAACACUAAAGACUGCGGAGUCCAAAAUCGUGACCAAAACAGUCACAGUGGAUCAUUGUGGGACACCUCCUAGAGGCCACUAAAAGUUGAUGAUCUGAGGAGAGCAGGGAUUGAAAGGAUGGCAGGGAGUUUUUCUACGGAGUCAUUGAGAGCAACAGAAUAGAAACACUGAGUUAUCACCAUCUGUUCAUCAGAAACUCUUUAACGAGAGGGAUACGUGUCAUAGAGAUUCCCUGACAAAUCUAAGAAAGAAGAAAAAGGCAAAGAGGGUUUUCAAGCUUAAGAAGACAGCUUUCAAACUCAGAGUAUUAGUUGAACAUCAUGAAGUAGGGCUGAAAACGAAAAGUGAAAGAGCCAAAGCAGAGAGAAAGAAACAGAGAAGCAAAUUCUAGUGUGUGAUCUCAGGAACUUCCAGGGCUAGAAACAGUUGCUGUGUGUCCCACUGGAAAGCAGAGGAAUCUUUCUGUUCCAAUGAUGAUAGAAUAUGACCACCUCAUGGCCUCAACACCUAAGAUGAUAUAAAACCACCAGAAUUGAAAUGCUCCUGAUGGUCAAUCCGCAGAACAUGUUGUGUGCUUUAAACAAGAAAGGGUGAAAGAUUAAUCGUUUUAUUCAGGGAGAGCUGAAGGAGCCAUUAGAGAUGGCAAGUCCAUGCCUUAUUUUGGAAUUUUUUUCUUCUGCCCUAAUUAUAUUCCAGACUUUAAUUCUCCACUCACUUUAAUUAAGUUAGACUCAAACAUUAGAGAAGGUAACAAACAUAAAAUAAAACAAGGAACAUUCCUGCCAAGUAGCCUUUUUCUAGUUCUUAGAAAUUUAUUUCAUGCAUUAUUUCCAUAGAUACAUGAAUUUGUCCAGGAUUUGACAUAAAAAUGCUAUUAGAAUCUCUUUUUUCCCCAAGUACUGUAAACAUAUGUCUUUGGUCUUUCCAGCAUAUUAAUAUUUUACAUCUACUGAUGACUGCAUUUUGUACAUAUAUUUUAUUUCUAAUAUUUCUCCUUAAUGCUCUGUGUAUAAGGACAAAACUAUGCAGGCAUAAAUUGUAGCUAUGAGGCAGCAUUUAUAUUCAUUAGUGCUAGACAGUCUUUUCUAAUAAAUGUGUUCUUGGAAGCUAGUUUAACCAUGUUUGGUUAAUGCACUUCUCAAAUGUAGGACAUCUGUUUUUGAGUCCCAGUCUAUUCACAACUCUCCAUUUCAGAGCUGACUAGAUUUGCUAGGGA
Molecule: long non-coding RNA, 1494 nt
Organism: Trachemys scripta elegans
Lineage: Eukaryota; Metazoa; Chordata; Testudines; Emydidae
Exons: 6
Source: RefSeq, a predicted model, not a curated record